This 254-nucleotide ribosomal RNA is filed under the name uncultured bacterium. RNAcentral describes it as "partial 16S ribosomal RNA". It matches the Rfam family "Bacterial small subunit ribosomal RNA", at positions 524 to 776 of the family's 1533-position model. The record is from RNAcentral.
GACGAACCGUGCGAACGUUAUUCGGAAUCACUGGGCUUAAAGCGCGUGUAGGCGGAUGGGAACGUCGGCCACUGAAAGCCCCCGGCUCAACCGGGGAAGCGGUGCCGGGACGGCCCGUCUGGAGGGGCGUAGGGGGACCUGGAACUUCCGGUGGAGCGGUGAAAUGCGUUGAGAUCGGAAGGAACGCCCGUGGCGAAAGCGAGGUCCUGGACGUCAUCUGACGCUGAGACGCGAAAGCUAGGGGAGCGAACGGG